Molecule: long non-coding RNA, 1204 nt
Filed under: Phasianus colchicus (ring-necked pheasant)
Lineage: Eukaryota; Metazoa; Chordata; Aves; Galliformes; Phasianidae
Description: lncRNA (ENSPCLG00000016607.1)
Source: RNAcentral
AUCGUCUAUGUAACUGAUGAAAGUGUUAAAGAGUACUGGUCCCAAGAUGGACCCAAGAGGGAUACCACUUGUUACUUGCCUCUAUCUGGACAUAAAGCCAUUGACCACAUCCCUUCAAACCUAUAUGUCUCUAAUUUAGAAAUAAAGAUGUGGUGUGGGACUGUGUCACUCAUAGCUUCCAGAAUUUUUAAGGCCAUGUCUUUCUAGAGCUGUUCAUCAUCCAGACUAACCUCUUGUUACAGAGAUGUUGUGUGAAUCUACAUAAGUUGUUUAAGAUUAAUAUUAAAUGUGAUAAAUUCUUUGUUCUUCAUUGAAUAUGUGGCUAAUUUAGUCUUUAUUUUCAGAAUUUUAGAGCUCUUAGCGAAGUACUGUACCUUUUGGGUGGUUCUCAAGGGACUGAAUGUGUUCAGCAUCUUUUGAAAUAAAUCAGUGGGAUCUGAAACACUGAACCUCAGAUUGGGAGUCUCCCAAAACCCUGAAUUAUGAAUUAUGAACCCACCAUUAGCACCCUCUCCAGCAUUUGUCGGCACUUAGACUUGCAGUGAUCUUCCAGCCUAUCAGGUACAGAGUACUUCAUUAUGUGCACGAACAAAAAUGCUUAAAUGGAUGAAGCAGCUAUUUACGUAUGAUAGGAGCUAAGUGGGACAUUAAAUUAAUGCCAAACAAAGAGCCAAGUGAAUUGUUAUCUGUCACAGCAUCCCAAUGUUCAUCUCUUAAUACUUGUGGGUGUGAUACAAACCACCUAGAAGAGAUUAACUGUGUCUUUCACUGCCCAGACUAGACUGUUUCCUGUGUUCCAUCAGUGCAGUUCUGCUGCUGCACAUUUUGGUUUGGUAAGUGCUAAGACAAAGAUUAUUUCCUAGUGAUUUUACAAUGCUUACUGAUCUAUAGAGACACAAUAGAGUAAACAACAGUUAACAAAUUGCUCUAAUAGACAGCACAGUCCCUUAGGAGACAAUCAUAGCAUCGACAUCAAGGUUGAGGUAUUCUCUCUCCAGGGCAGCAUUAACAGUAAUUUUAUCGCUGAGUGUGUGUAUAAUUCUGCAACACCAGUCCCAAGCUGGGAGGUUCUCCAGGUCAGAGGUUAAUAAUAGGCAAAACCACUUCACUGUUAUGCUCAUAGGCUAUUGAAAACAAAGAGGAAACCAGUCUGUCUUAAACUUCCAACUGAAAGUCCCAGUAAUAAAAUCACUUACACAUAGCA